GCAAACUUGGUCAUUUAGAGGAAGUAAAAGUCGUAACAAGGUAACCGUAGGUGAACCUGCGGUUGGAUCAUUACCAAUUUCACUAUUCCUUUUCUCUCCCACUCUUCCAUAAAGGAGGAGUGUGAGGAAAAGAAAUAUAAACACACUUUGUGAACUUGUAAUCGUUUUUGGUGGUUCCUUGCACCGAAGGGUGUACCUUGGGUUUGUAAGCCCACCAAAAGGACCCUCUUGAUUGAUUGUGGUUCUCCCCACAGUCUUCAGAGGGGUUCGAUUUUAUAAAACCCAAUUCUUCUAGUUUUUUAAAAGUCUUUUUUAUUUUUGCUUUUCUUCUUUUCUCUCGGAGAAAAAGGGGAAAUUCAAAAAAAAGCCAAUUGAGAAACAACUUUUAACAACGGAUCUCUUGGCUCUCGCAUCGAUGAAGAACGCAGC
Molecule: unclassified non-coding RNA, 429 nt
Filed under: uncultured fungus
Lineage: Eukaryota; Fungi
Description: partial contains small subunit ribosomal RNA, internal transcribed spacer 1, and 5.8S ribosomal RNA
Rfam family: Eukaryotic small subunit ribosomal RNA (bases 1-73)
Source: RNAcentral